RNAcentral lists this ribosomal RNA (482 nucleotides) under uncultured bacterium. RNAcentral's name for it is "partial 16S ribosomal RNA". It matches the Rfam family "Bacterial small subunit ribosomal RNA", at positions 29 to 507 of the family's 1533-position model. The record is from RNAcentral.
AUUGAACGCUGGCGGCAUGCUUUACACAUGCAAGUCGAACGGUAACAGGCCGCAAGGUGCUGACGAGUGGCGAACGGGUGGGUAAUGCACCGGAACGUGCCCAGUCGUGGGGGAUAACUACUCGAAAGAGUAGCUAAUACCGCAUACGAUCUAUGGACGAAAGCGGGGGACCGUAAGGCCUCGCUCGAUUGGAGCGGCCGAUGUCGGAUUAGGUAGUUGGUGGGGGAAAGGCUCACCAAGCCAACGAUCUGUAGCUGGUCUGAGAGGACGACCGGCCACCCGGGGACUGAGACACGGCCCAGACUCCUACGGGAGGCAGCAGUGGGGAAUUUUGGACAAUGGGCGCAAGCCUGAUCCAGCAAUGCCGCGUGCAGGAAGAAGGCCUUCGGGUUGUAAACUGCUUUUGUACGGAACGAAACGGCUCUGGUUAAUACCCGGGGCUAAUGACGGUACCGGAAGAAUAAGCACCGGCUAACUACGUG